AACGAACGCUGGUGGCGUGCCUCAUACAUGCAAGUCGAGCGAGGUUUCGAGUCGAGCGGCGUACGGGUGAGUAUCGCGUGAGUAACCUACCCUAUAGUUGGGAAUAACCCCCCUAACGGGGGACUAAUACCGAAUAUUGAGUGGCACUGCAUAGUGCUUAGUCGAAAGGGCGCAAGCCCGCUAAAGGAUGGACUCGCGUCUGAUUAGCUAGUUGGAGGGUAACGCCCACAAGGCGAUGAUCAGUAGCCGACCUGAGAGGGUGAUCGGCCACAAUGGGACUGAGACACGGCCCAUACUCCUACGGGAGGCAGCAGUGGGGAAUAUUGCACAAUGGGCGAAAGCCUGAUGCAGCAACGCCGCGUGAGCGAAGAAGGCCUUUGGGUCGUAAAGCUCUGUCGGGUAGGAAGAUAAUGACGGUAUACCCGAGGAAGCCCCGGCUAACUACGUG
This 448-nucleotide ribosomal RNA is filed under the name uncultured bacterium. Its description in RNAcentral is "bacterial SSU rRNA". It matches the Rfam family "Bacterial small subunit ribosomal RNA", at positions 29 to 507 of the family's 1533-position model. The record is from RNAcentral.